GGGCCGGUGGUGGAAUCGGCAGACACAACGGACUUAAAAUCCGUUGCUCGUAAGAGCGUGAGGGUUCAAGUCCCUCCCGGCCCACCA
RNAcentral lists this transfer RNA (87 nucleotides) under Actinomycetota bacterium. RNAcentral's name for it is "tRNA-Leu". It matches the Rfam family "tRNA". From Rfam's summary of the family: Transfer RNA (tRNA) molecules are approximately 80 nucleotides in length. Their secondary structure includes four short double-helical elements and three loops (D, anti-codon, and T loops). Further hydrogen bonds mediate the characteristic L-shaped molecular structure. tRNAs have two regions of fundamental functional importance: the anti-codon, which is responsible for specific mRNA codon recognition, and the 3' end, to which the tRNAs corresponding amino acid is attached (by aminoacyl-tRNA synthetases). tRNAs cope with the degeneracy of the genetic code in two manners: having more than one tRNA (with a specific anti-codon) for a particular amino acid; and 'wobble' base-pairing, i.e. permitting non-standard base-pairing at the 3rd anti-codon position. The record is from RNAcentral. Lineage: Bacteria; Bacillati; Actinomycetota.